This 253-nucleotide ribosomal RNA is filed under the name uncultured bacterium. RNAcentral's name for it is "partial 16S ribosomal RNA". It matches the Rfam family "Bacterial small subunit ribosomal RNA", at positions 524 to 776 of the family's 1533-position model. The record is from RNAcentral.
UACGUAGGGUGCAAGCGUUAAUCGGAAUUACUGGGCGUAAAGCGUGCGCAGGCGGUGAUGGAAGACCGUUGUGAAAUCCCCGGGCUCAACCUGGGAACUGCAUCUGUGACUGCAUCGCUGGAGUGCGGCAGAGGGGGAUGGAAUUCCGCGUGUAGCAGUGAAAUGCGUAGAUAUGCGGAGGAACACCGAUGGUGAAGGCAAUCCCCUGGGCCUGCACUGACGCUCAUGCACGAAAGCGUGGGGAGCAAACAGG